GAUGAACGCUAGCGGCAGGCUUAAUACAUGCAAGUCGUGGGGCAGCGCAGUGUAGCAAUACAUGGGCGGCGACCGGCAAACGGGUGCGGAACACGUACACAACCUUCCUUCAAAUGGGGAAUAGCCCAGGGAAACUUGGAUUAAUACCCCGUAACAUUGUGAGAUGGCAUCAUCUUAUAAUUAUAGCUCCGGCGUUUGGAGAUGGGUGUGCGGCUGAUUAGGUAGUUGGCGGGGUAACGGCCCACCAAGCCUUCGAUCAGUAACUGGUGU
Molecule: ribosomal RNA, 270 nt
Filed under: uncultured bacterium
Lineage: Bacteria
Description: partial 16S ribosomal RNA
Rfam family: Bacterial small subunit ribosomal RNA
Source: RNAcentral